RNAcentral lists this ribosomal RNA (450 nucleotides) under uncultured bacterium. RNAcentral's name for it is "partial 16S ribosomal RNA". It matches the Rfam family "Bacterial small subunit ribosomal RNA", at positions 28 to 506 of the family's 1533-position model. The record is from RNAcentral.
GAUGAAUGCUGGCGGCGUGCCUAACACAUGCAAGUCGAGCGGCAGCGAGGGGUGCUUGCACCCUGUCGGCGAGCGGCGAACGGCUGAGUAACGCGUAGGAAUUUGCCCCAAAGUGAGGAAUAACUGCCCGAAAGGGUAGCUAAUGCCGCAUAUGGUCUUCGGAUUAAAGGAUUUAUCCGCUUUGGGAGAAGCCUGCGUUGGAUUAGGUUGUUGGUAGGGUAAUGGCCUACCAAGCCGACGAUCCAUAGCUGGUCUGAGAGGAUGAUCAGCCAGACUGGAACUGAGACACGGUCCAGACUCCUACGGGAGGCAGCAGUGAGGAAUCUUCCACAAUGGGCGAAAGCCUGAUGGAGCAACGCCGCGUGAAGGAUGAAGGCCUUCGGGUUGUAAACUUCUUUUAGGAGUGAAGAAUAUGACGGUAACUCAUGAAUAAGCACCGGCUAACUACGU